UCUCAUAUGAGGCUGGGUUAACAAUUCUCUGAGCUUCAUGGAGUCUUUGCCUACUAUUCUGAAGGAACUCUUAAUGAAGAUAGGAUCAAUUUUUGUCCCCAUACAGAACUGACAUUACUUUUGAGGUUCACAAGCUAAUCACAAAUGCUACAUCAAUUAUUGUUCUGCAAAUAAUAUAUUACCUUGAGUUGUUCCAAAGGUCUUAUGUUUAUUGGCUGGAAUUUUCCAAUAGCAAUGAGGAGUCAAGGAAGAGUUUCCUACUCACCGGCAGCAUCUGGAAUAGCAGACCAACUUUCCUCAUGCUGGGGAGCAAAUCAGGUGUUGCAGCUAAGGGGCCAUGCAAGAAGAGCUGCAAUGGCCAUUCCCUUCACCUGGCUACCUCCUCUACUCUACAGGGCACCGAGCCCAAUGGAGAAGGUUGGGAGUGGAGUAGCAGUGAUGUGAUGAAUUACUUUGCAUGGGAGAGAAAUCCCUCCACCAUCUCAAGCCCCGGCCACUGUGCGAGCCUGUCGAGAAGCACAGCAUUUCUGAGGUGGAAAGAUUAUAACUGUAAUGUGAGGUUACCCUAUGUCUGCAAGUUCACUGACUAGUGCAGGAGGGAAGUCAGCAGCCUGUGUUUGGUGUGCAACUCAUCAUGGGCAUGAGACCAGUGUGAGGACUCACCCUGGAAGAGAAUAUUCGCUUAAUUCCCCCAACCUGACCACCUCAUUCUUAUCUUUCUUCUGUUUCUUCCUCCCCGCUGUCAUUUCAGUCUCUUCAUUUUGUCAUACGGCCUAAGGCUUUAAAGAGCAAUAAAAUUUUUAGUCUGC
RNAcentral lists this long non-coding RNA (809 nucleotides) under Homo sapiens (human). RNAcentral describes it as "HSALNT0034630". The record is from RNAcentral. Lineage: Eukaryota; Metazoa; Chordata; Mammalia; Primates; Hominidae.